GACGAACGCUGGCGGCGUGCCUAAUACAUGCAAGUUGAGCGCUGAAGGUUGGUACUUGUACCAACUGGAUGAGCAGCGAACGGGUGAGUAGCGCGUGGGGAAUCUGCCUUUGAGCGGGGGACAACAUUUGGAAACGAAUGCUAAUACCGCAUAAAAACUUUAAACACAAGUUUUAAGUUUGAAAGAUGCAAUUGCAUCACUCAAAGAUGAUCCCGCGUUGUAUUAGCUAGUUGGUGAGGUAAAGGCUCACCAAGGCGAUGAUACAUAGCCGACCUGGGAGGGUGAUCGGCCACAUUGGGACUGGGACACGGCCCAAACUCCUACGGGAGGCAGCAGUAGGGAAUCUUCGGCAAUGGACGAAAGUCUGACCGAGCAACGCCGCGUGAGUGAAGAAGGUUUUCGGAUCGUAAAACUCGGUUGGUAGAGAAGAACGUUGGUGAGAGUGGAAAGCUCAUCAAGUGACGGUAACUACCCAGAAAGGGACGGCUAACUACGUG
Molecule: ribosomal RNA, 497 nt
Filed under: uncultured bacterium
Lineage: Bacteria
Description: partial 16S ribosomal RNA
Rfam family: Bacterial small subunit ribosomal RNA
Source: RNAcentral